GUUGCUGAAAGGCAGAGAUUCCAAGUGUCUUUCUGACAUAUCUUUGAUAGAUAGCUUCAUAGGUUGUUCAUUCAAGAGUUAUAUUCAAGAUAAAUCUGAACAUUAGGUCUCCUAGCAGAAGACACAUCUGGAACAUGCAGCAUGGUUUGGAAAGACUGGAUAAACCUUGAGACACUGAUUGCCAAGCUCCUUGGAGUGCGACCACAGCAGCAACCAGCGGGAGCUCUGCAGCCCAUUCGGGAAAUCUCUGUUCUUCAGAAACGUGCUACCUCUGCUGUAUGGAGAUCUAUGCUCAGCACAGAGAAAUUACAGCUUUGGCUUUUGGCUUUUCUUCUGCCAUCUAUCACAAGCUCUUUGGUGGUCUGGUUCAGUAAGUGCAUCCAUCUAUAAAAUAACCAUUCUGGUAGA
Molecule: long non-coding RNA, 408 nt
Organism: Phasianus colchicus (ring-necked pheasant)
Lineage: Eukaryota; Metazoa; Chordata; Aves; Galliformes; Phasianidae
Source: RefSeq, a predicted model, not a curated record